CAGUAGCCGCGGUAAUACGUAGGGGGCAAGCGUUAAUCGGAAUUACUGGGCGUAAAGCGUGCGCAGGCGGUUAUUUAAGACAGAUGUGAAAUCCCCGGGCUCAACCUGGGAACUGCAUUUGUGACUGUAUAGCUAGAGUACGGCAGAGGGGUAUGGAAUUCCGCGUGUAGCAGUGAAAUGCGUAGAUAUGCGGAGGAACACCGAUGGCGAAGGCAAUCCCCUGGGCCUGUACUGACGCUCAUGCACGAAAGCGUGGGGAGCAAACAGGAUUAGAUACCCCUGUAGUCCCUGUCUCUUAUAA
Molecule: ribosomal RNA, 301 nt
Filed under: uncultured bacterium
Lineage: Bacteria
Description: partial 16S ribosomal RNA
Rfam family: Bacterial small subunit ribosomal RNA
Source: RNAcentral